This 301-nucleotide ribosomal RNA is filed under the name uncultured bacterium. RNAcentral describes it as "partial 16S ribosomal RNA". It matches the Rfam family "Bacterial small subunit ribosomal RNA", at positions 509 to 807 of the family's 1533-position model. The record is from RNAcentral.
CAGCAGCCGCGGGAAAACGAAGGGGGCUAGCGUUGUUCGGAAUUACUGGGCGUAAAGCGCACGUAGGCGGACUUUUAAGUCAGGGGUGAAAUCCCGGGGCUCAACCUCGGAACUGCCUUUGAUACUGGAAGUCUUGAGUGUGGAAGAGGUAAGUGGAAUUGCGAGUGUAGAGGUGAAAUUCGUAGAUAUUCGCAGGAACACCAGUGGCGGAGGCGGCUUACUGGUCCACAACUGACGCUGAGGUGCGAAAGCGUGGGGAGCAAACAGGAUUAGAUACCCGAGUAGUCCCUGUCUCUUAUAC